GGGUGACAGCCCCGUACACAAAAAUGCACAUGCUGUGAGCUCGAUGAGUAGGGCGGGACACGUGGUAUCCUGUCUGAAUAUGGGGGGACCAUCCUCCAAGGCUAAAUACUCCUGACUGACCGAUAGUGAACCAGUACCGUGAGGGAAAGGCGAAAAGAACCCCGGCGAGGGGAGUGAAAAAGAACCUGAAACCGUGUACGUACAAGCAGUGGGAGCACGCUUAGGCGUGUGACUGCGUACCUUUUGUAUAAUGGGUCAGCGACUUAUAUUCUGUAGCAAGGUUAACCGAAUAGGGGAGCCGAAGGGAAACCGAGUCUUAACUGGGCGUUAAGUUGCAGGGUAUAGACCCGAAACCCGGUGAUCUAGCCAUGGGCAGGUUGAAGGUUGGGUAACACUAACUGGAGGACCGAACCGACUAAUGUUGAAAAAUUAGCGGAUGACUUGUGGCUGGGGGUGAAAGGCCAAUCAAACCGGGAGAUAGCUGGUUCUCCCCGAAAGCUAUUUAGGUAGCGCCUCGUGAAUUCAUCUCCGGGGGUAGAGCACUGUUUCGGCAAGGGGGUCAUCCCGACUUACCAACCCGAUGCAAACUGCGAAUACCGGAGAAUGUUAUCACGGGAGACACACGGCGGGUGCUAACGUCCGUCGUGAAGAGGGAAACAACCCAGACCGCCAGCUAAGGUCCCAAAGUCAUGGUUAAGUGGGAAACGAUGUGGGAAGGCCCAGACAGCCAGGAUGUUGGCUUAGAAGCAGCCAUCAUUUAAAGAAAGCGUAAUAGCUCACUGGUCGAGUCGGCCUGCGCGGAAGAUGUAACGGGGCUAAACCAUGCACCGAAGCUGCGGCAGCGACACUGUGUGUUGUUGGGUAGGGGAGCGUUCUGUAAGCCUGCGAAGGUGUGCUGUGAGGCAUGCUGGAGGUAUCAGAAGUGCGAAUGCUGACAUAAGUAACGAUAAAGCGGGUGAAAAGCCCGCUCGCCGGAAGACCAAGGGUUCCUGUCCAACGUUAAUCGGGGCAGGGUGAGUCGACCCCUAAGGCGAGGCCGAAAGGCGUAGUCGAUGGGAAACAGGUUAAUAUUCCUGUACUUGGUGUUACUGCGAAGGGGGGACGGAGAAGGCUAUGUUGGCCGGGCGACGGUUGUCCCGGUUUAAGCGUGUAGGCUGGUUUUCCAGGCAAAUCCGGAAAAUCAAGGCUGAGGCGUGAUGACGAGGCACUACGGUGCUGAAGCAACAAAUGCCCUGCUUCCAGGAAAAGCCUCUAAGCAUCAGGUAACAUCAAAUCGUACCCCAAACCGACACAGGUGGUCAGGUAGAGAAUACCAAGGCGCUUGAGAGAACUCGGGUGAAGGAACUAGGCAAAAUGGUGCCGUAACUUCGGGAGAAGGCACGCUGAUACGUAGGUGAAGUCCCUCGCGGAUGGAGCUGAAAUCAGUCGAAGAUACCAGCUGGCUGCAACUGUUUAUUAAAAACACAGCACUGUGCAAACACGAAAGUGGACGUAUACGGUGUGACGCCUGCCCGGUGCCGGAAGGUUAAUUGAUGGGGUCAGCGCAAGCGAAGCUCUUGAUCGAAGCCCCGGUAAACGGCGGCCGUAACUAUAACGGUCCUAAGGUAGCGAAAUUCCUUGUCGGGUAAGUUCCGACCUGCACGAAUGGCGUAAUGAUGGCCAGGCUGUCUCCACCCGAGACUCAGUGAAAUUGAACUCGCUGUGAAGAUGCAGUGUACCCGCGGCAAGACGGAAAGACCCCGUGAACCUUUACUAUAGCUUGACACUGAACAUUGAGCCUUGAUGUGUAGGAUAGGUGGGAGGCUUUGAAGUGUGGACGCCAGUCUGCAUGGAGCCGACCUUGAAAUACCACCCUUUAAUGUUUGAUGUUCUAACGUUGACCCGUGAUCCGGGUUGCGGACAGUGUCUGGUGGGUAGUUUGACUGGGGCGGUCUCCUCCUAAAGAGUAACGGAGGAGCACGAAGGUUGGCUAAUCCUGGUCGGACAUCAGGAGGUUAGUGCAAUGGCAUAAGCCAGCUUGACUGCGAGCGUGACGGCGCGAGCAGGUGCGAAAGCAGGUCAUAGUGAUCCGGUGGUUCUGAAUGGAAGGGCCAUCGCUCAACGGAUAAAAGGUACUCCGGGGAUAACAGGCUGAUACCGCCCAAGAGUUCAUAUCGACGGCGGUGUUUGGCACCUCGAUGUCGGCUCAUCACAUCCUGGGGCUGAAGUAGGUCCCAAGGGUAUGGCUGUUCGCCAUUUAAAGUGGUACGCGAGCUGGGUUUAGAACGUCGUGAGACAGUUCGGUCCCUA
Molecule: ribosomal RNA, 2289 nt
Filed under: Escherichia coli
Lineage: Bacteria; Pseudomonadati; Pseudomonadota; Gammaproteobacteria; Enterobacterales; Enterobacteriaceae
Description: partial 23S ribosomal RNA
Rfam family: Bacterial large subunit ribosomal RNA
Source: RNAcentral